Molecule: ribosomal RNA, 262 nt
Filed under: uncultured bacterium
Lineage: Bacteria
Description: partial 16S ribosomal RNA
Rfam family: Bacterial small subunit ribosomal RNA
Source: RNAcentral
GACGAACGCUGGCGGCGUGCUUAACACAUGCAAGUCGAGCGGUAAGGCCCUUUCGGGGGUACACGAGCGGCGAACGGGUGAGUAACACGUGGGUGACCUGCCCUCCAGCUCUGGGAUAAGCCUGGGAAACUGGGUCUAAUACUGGAUAUGACUCCACGGUGCAUGUCGUGGGGUGGAAAGCCUUGUGCGGCUGAGGAUGGGCCCGCGGCCUAUCAGCUUGUUGGUGGGGUGANGGCCUACCAAGGCGACGACGGGUAGCCGG